RNAcentral lists this transfer RNA (72 nucleotides) under Sphaerodactylus townsendi. RNAcentral's name for it is "tRNA-Ala". Lineage: Eukaryota; Metazoa; Chordata; Lepidosauria; Squamata; Sphaerodactylidae. The record is from RNAcentral.
GGGGCCAUGGCCCAGUGGUAGAGCCUCGACUUGGCAUGCAUAAGGUCCCAGGUUCGAUCCCAGGCAUCUCCA